CAGCUGGGAAGUGCCACGGAUCAUGAUGGCUUGUGGUGGGCAGCUCACGUCUUAUUACGCUAUAUAAACACAAACAACACACCAGACGGAACUAGAUCAAAUAACAGGAGUCAGGGAACCAGGAGCUCAGAUGAAGGCUCUUGCAAAUUUCUCUGCUCCAGUUUUACAGAACACAGUCUGGUCUAGAUUGUCAAUUUGUGUGUUGAGUAGUAGGAGGAAGGUAGGAUGCACGGGAAGUCCUCGUUUCAAAGAUGAAAAAUGUAGCUCAGAGAUGCCAACCCUGUGGUCAUCAUUAAGCAUGUGUGUGUUAGGUACAUGUUUUCCAACAGACACCGAAUUAAACAGUGAUAUUUCAGAAAGUGUUAUAAUCACUGGCUCCAACUGGACAGGACAGAUGAUACCUAUAGUGCUGUACAUGUUCCUGGAGGAAGUUUCAAAGGAGUCACAUAUUGAUGUAUGGAUGUGAGAGUUGGACUAUAAAGAAAGAUGAGUGCUGAAGAAUUGAUGCUUUUGAAGUGUGGUGUUGGAGAAAACUCUUUAGAGUCCCUUGGAGUACAAGCAGAUCCAUCCAGUCCAUCCUAAAGGAAAUCAGUCCUGAAUAUUCAUUGGAAGGACUGAUGCUGAAGCUGAAACUCUAAUACUUUGGCCACCUAAUGCAAAGAACUGACUCAUUUGAAAAUACCCUGAUGCUGGGAAAGAUUGAAGGUGGGAGGAAAAGGGGACAACAGAGGAUGAGAUGGUUGGAUGGCAUCACCGACUCAAUGGACAUGAGUUUGAGUAGGCUCUGGGAGUUAGUGAUGGACAGGGAAGCCUGGUGUGCUGGGAAGCCUGGACUGGGAAGCCAUGGGGUCGCAAAGAGUCAGACAUGACUGAGUGACUGAACUGAACUGAACUGAAUCAAGCUUUACCUUCCUAGGGCUGGAAAGGUGCUUUCUUUCCAGAGCACAAGACCCACAAGACCAGUCAGGUCUCUGCCCUCAGGAAGAAGCCUGAGAUUGGUCAUGGGCAGACAACCCACAGCACGUGCUACCCAGGCUUCUGUUUCAAUGGUUUGGGAUAUGCCGGGUCAGAAAAACGGCAGAAACCUACAGUCUAUUUUCUCCUAAAAAAAAAUGUUUUUAAGUCUAUGAAACUUUAGCAAGAGGAUUGGAAAGCAGAUGAUACCAGAGAGCAGAAUCUUACAAUAUUUAAGUAGCUGAGUUAGAAGAUUCUGUGUGUUUUUCAUGAUGUGAAAAUUAUCAUUGGGCUGCUGUCUAUGGGGUUGCACAGAGUAGGACACAACUGAAGCAACUUAGCAGCAGCAGCAGCAGAAACUAAAAGCUUGUUAUAAGAAGGGAAAAUGUUAAUUUUGCUUGCUAUGAAAAGAGAAUGGGAGAAAACUUCAAGUAUCCAUCAAAAAGUCUGUAAUCCUCACUUAGAGAAGUCUCCAGAAACUAUUUCACCAUCGAACCCCUGUCAUCCUAGCCCCCUGAUAGAACCUGGCUUUUCCUUUUAUUACUUGCUGAUGUCUCUGCUCUUUUGCACACUCAUCUGAAUGAUCUCAUCUUCCUUGCCCUGCUUUCUCCAUAUGAUAAAUCUGAAUUCACAUUUACCACCAUACACUUUAUUAGCCACACCUUCUGUCUCCAUUCAAAGGGAGUUGUACCAAAGGUGUGCUUGAUGGUGGAGGUGUUGUUGGCCAGUUCAGUUCAGUUGCUCAGUCAUGUCCGACUCUUUGCGACCCCAUGGACUGCAGCACACCAGGCUUCUCUGUCCAUCACCAACUCCCAGAGCUUACUCAAACUCAUGUCCAUACAGUUGGUGAUGCCAUCCAACAAUCUCAUCCUUUGUCAUCCCCUUCUCCUCCUGCCUUCAGUCUUUCCCAGCAUCAAGGUCUUGGUCACAAUGUUGGUUACAGUGUUACUAAUUUAGAAAUUACAUCUGCUCAGUCUGAAAUAUUAUAUAGUGAAUAGUUUUUCUUAUCUGCAAAAUAUAAAUAUAUGGAGGACAGACAUUGUAGUCCAUACACAAUUUCAUUUUUUAAAAGAUAUUUUAACUUAAUAUACCAUCACUUUUAAUGGGAUAAAGUCAACCUUAACAUUAAAAAAAAAAAAAUUCAAGUUUUCCCCCUAAGGAAUUAUCUCCUGCCAGCUCAAUCAGUAGUCACCUCUAAAACAUGAUAGGAAUCAUACAUUUUAGGGAACAUUAUAAGAAUUUACCACUGGGAGUCAUAUUUUUGGGUGACAUGUAACAAAGCUUUGGUAGCAAGCUAGUAUGUCAUUUACUUGCUGAUGUGGGAUGUUGCCACUGAGAAAUAUUUGAAAGCUGCCAAGACCUUCCUAAAGAAUAGAAUGGCCUCUUUAUUUUGGUGAUUAUGCCUUCUUUGGGAGAAAAGGAAUUGUAUUUAUUCACGAAUUUUGAAUAUUGAGUAUAUUUAAGACUUCAGAGCUUAACAAUGAAGUUCUAUUUGGAUGUGUGACUUAAUAAUCGAACCUCAUUUAACACAUAGCUAAAAUGUAUAGUCAACUCUAAGUAAAAUUGGGCUUAGAUAUUUUAUAUUGGAACAGAUGCAAAGUCUUAAACUCAUCCUAUAACUAAUUCAGGUUCAGCACCUCGAUCUCCCAGGUGUAGGAAGUGGUGAAGGUCAGAUCUAGGCUGAGAUAUGCAAGGGGAAGCUUCCUUGGUGCAUCCCUCUGAGCAACCACCUUCUUCUCUAUAGUCUCUCACUGUUACACCUGGAAAGCGCCCUCAGCUCUUUUCCUUCACUUUCCUCCCAUCUUGAUAGUCAAGCACUCCAGUUACCACAUCCUCAUUCAACCAGGUGGAGAAGGCAAUGGCACCCCACUCCAGUACUCUUGCCUGGAAAAUCUCAUGGAUGGAGGAGCCUGGUAGGCUGCAGACCAUGGGGUCGCUAAGAGUUGGACACGACUGAGCGACUUCACUUUCACUUUUCACUUUCAUGCAUUGGAGAAGGAAAUGGCAACCCACUCCAGUGUUCUUGCCUGGAGAAUCCCAGGGACGGGGGAGCCUGGUGGGCUGCUGUCUAUGGGGUUGCACAGAGUCGGACAUGACUGAAGCAACUUAGCAGCAGCAGCAGCAGCAUUCAACCAGGAGUUAAGAAGAAAGGACUGAAACAUUAUUGGGGGUGGGGGUUGAAGGCAGGAGGAAGGACUGGCCCUGUUUUAAGGUAAUCAGGCAGUUUUUGUCUUAUAGCUGAGUAGAUUCAAAUUCAUGUGGUUGCCUAGAUUCAAAUUUCAUGUUUGAUCCAGUAUUAUCUGUACAACCUUGUUGAUAUUAUUUAAUUUCUUUGUGUUUCAGAUUGCUCUUCUGCAAAAUGCAGAGAAAAAUCAUACUUACCUGACAUGGCUGUUCUUAGAUUAAAUGAUUUGAUACAAAUAUAGUUCCUAAAAUAAUGCCUGAGACAAAGUAAAUAUAUCAAGUCAAUGCAAAGCAUUUUUCAAAAUAGAGAAUAAAAAUGUUACUUGAUAUACACAUGAAGUUUAAAUAAUUUGAGUGUCAAUAAUUUAUGAAUAUAAAAGUCAAUAAUUUUGACUAGAAGGCAAAUGAGCAAUUAAUUGAUUGAAAUGCUGAAUUAUAUAUUUAUUAUAUUAAGAAAUUUUUAACAAGUGUAAUUGUGGCCAGUUUUUGACAUGUGCUUCUGUUAAAUUUUAAAUACACUGCUUUUGCAAAUUGUGCUAUUCAAUUAAAUGAGUAUUUA
Long non-coding RNA from Bos taurus (domestic cattle), 3697 nucleotides. The record is from Ensembl. NCBI's taxonomy places the organism in Eukaryota, Metazoa, Chordata, Mammalia, Artiodactyla, Bovidae.